RNAcentral lists this ribosomal RNA (253 nucleotides) under uncultured bacterium. Its description in RNAcentral is "partial 16S ribosomal RNA". It matches the Rfam family "Bacterial small subunit ribosomal RNA", at positions 524 to 776 of the family's 1533-position model. The record is from RNAcentral.
UACAGGGGAUACAAGUGUUAUCCGGAAUUAUUGGGCGUAAAGCGUUUGUAGGUUGAAAAAAAAGUCUUUUGUUAAAUCUUUAAGCUUAACUUAAAAACCGCAAAAGAAACUCUUUUUCUAGAGUAUAGUAGAGGUAAAGGGAAUUUUCAAAGAAGCGGUGAAAUGCGUUGAUAUUGAAAGGAACACCAAUGGCGAAAGCACUUUACUGGGUUAUUACUGACACUGAGAAACGAAAGCUAGGGGAGCAAACAGG